AUUUAGUGAAAAGAACGUACAAAAGACAUGGAUUUAAGGAGUCUGAACUUAAAUCCAGUUCUGCCAUCUAUCAUUUGUAUGACCUUAUGCAAAUUAACCUCUCUGAGCCUCCAGUUCCUCAUUUGUAAAAUGAAGAUAAAAAUAGUAUUAUUUACUUCACAGAUUUAUGUCUGUAUUAAAUAAGGUAAUAUAAGCACAAAGGGAUUUGAAAACCAUAAGGACUACAUAGAUUAUUACCAUUGCACCAUUAAAAGUAAAUUUUUAUAAAACAUACUCUUGGGUUUUAUUUCAGUAUUGACUUUGAACAGAAAAGAGUGCUUAUGCUAUUCACAAGCAGUGAAGGCUAUUAUAAAUAUUAAUGUAAGAGGUCUAGAUAUUAAAUCACAUCCUACUGCUGAGAGAUUCUAACCUGCCUAAGAUUCUAACAUGUUAUCUCAAUUUCACUGAAAGAGCAGGAUGAAGGGAGGAAGAUAUAGCCAGCCAGAGAAGGGAGAAGAGGAGAAACAUCUGGAAAAUAUCAGUGUUGCAGAGCCUCCCGGAAACUGACCUCGCCACCGAAAGGGUGAAUGGGGUCAAAAUGGAAACAGCAUGAGAGGGGCCACAGAAGGGAUUCACCAGGAAGAAGAGGAAAGGUGGGGCUGAGGUGGCCAGGACAGCACGACAUCACAUCUGACCAAGGCAUCCUCAGCCUUCCUUCAGAAAAGCAGCAGAAGGAAAAAGCUGGUACCAUUCUAAGCUUCAUCAGUGGAGAGUACUGUAGAGACAUUACAGAAAGAAGCAGUUUUCCUUCCUGGUUCCGGUACACUCUUUCUGCAGGCUGCUGCAAACACGCAUGGCUCCUAGAGUAUCCACACCUUCUUCAGCAACUGGCUCCUGCUGAACAUGAUGGUCAGCACCUCCCAGCCUCCAGCAGCUUCCACUGGCAUCCCUCUCGGUUGAUUUUGCAGCAGAAUGCAUCCAGUGAAAGACCUCCACAUGAAUAGCUUUCCUUAGCAUCUUAGAGGGUAGAUUUCUAGCAAGUUCUGCCAGCAUAGCACCCCAGUGACUUCUCUGCCAGCCCAGGAGCCACAGCAGGCCAUGACCUCUCCAGCAAGGUCUGGAGCAGAGAGAAGCAUGUGUUUGGGUGCUCUAUCAGACCCACGGCCCACGGGUAGGGGCUGCUCCUUAUAUCUGCUAUUCCUCUGUUAUUUAAAGUUCUCUUUACUUCCUGUUAGCUAGUCCCCAUUAUAGUGAACUACUUCUCUUUUUCUUAACAGUUUUCUUUUGUAUUUUUUAAAAAUUGUGGCAAAAUACAUAUAGUAUAAAAUUUACCA
This 1313-nucleotide long non-coding RNA is filed under the name Homo sapiens (human). Its description in RNAcentral is "HSALNT0329078". Lineage: Eukaryota; Metazoa; Chordata; Mammalia; Primates; Hominidae. The record is from RNAcentral.